UUUUCGGAAGGUAUGCUUAAAGAUGAGCUUGCGCCACAUUAGUUUGUUGGUGGGGUAAUGGCCUACCAAGACGAUGAUGUGUAGCUGGACUGAGAGGUCGAACAGCCACAUUGGGACUGAGACACGGCCCAAACUCCUACGGGAGGCAGCAGUAGGGAAUUUUCGGCAAUGGAGGAAACUCUGACCGAGCAACGCCGCGUGAACGAUGAAGUAUUUCGGUAUGUAAAGUUCUUUUAUUGAAGAAGAAAAAAUAGUGGAAAAACUAUCUUGACGUUAUUCAAUGAAUAAGCCCCGGCUAACUAUGUGCCAGCAGCCGCGGUAAGACAUAGGGGGCGAGCGUUAUCCGGAAUUAUUGGGCGUAAAGGGUGCGUAGGCGGUUAGGAAAGUCUAUAAUUUAAUUUCAGUGCUUAACGCUGUCUUGUUAUAGAAACUACCUUGACUAGAGUUAGAUAGAGGCAAGCGGAAUUCCAUGUGUAGCGGUAAAAUGUGUAAAUAUAUGGAGGAACACCAGAAGCGUAGGCGGCUUGCUGGGUCUUGACUGACGCUGAGGCACGAAAGCGUGGGUAGCAAACAGGAUUAGAUACCCUGGUAGUCCACGCCGUAAACGAUGAGUACUAAGUGUCGGGAUAAAACUCGGUACUGAAGUUAACACAUUAAGUACUCCGCCUGAGUAGUACGUACGCAAGUAUGAAACUUAAAGGAAUUGACGGGACUCCGCACAAGCGGUGGAUCAUGUUGUUUAAUUCGAAGAUACACGAAAAAUCUUACCAGGUCUUGACAUGCUCUGCAAGGCUAUAGAAAUAUAGUGGAGGUUAUCAGGGACACAGGUGGUGCAUGGUUGUCGUCAGUUCGUGUCGUGAGAUGUUAGGUUAAGUCCUAAAACGAGCGCAACCCUUGUCGUUAGUUACCAGCACGUAAUGGUGGGCACUUUAACGAGACUGCCAAUUAAACAUUGGAGGAAGGUGAGGAUUACGUCAAAUCAUCAUGCCCCUUAUGAUCUGGGCUACAAACGUGAUACAAUGGCUGUUACAAAGAGUAGCUGAAGCGCGAGUUUUUAGCCAAUCUCAAAAAAGCAGUCUCAGUUCGGAUUGAAGUCUGUAACUCGACUUCAUGAAG
Molecule: ribosomal RNA, 1116 nt
Filed under: Candidatus Phytoplasma fraxini
Lineage: Bacteria; Bacillati; Mycoplasmatota; Mollicutes; Acholeplasmatales; Acholeplasmataceae
Description: bacterial SSU rRNA
Rfam family: Bacterial small subunit ribosomal RNA
Source: RNAcentral